RNAcentral lists this ribosomal RNA (121 nucleotides) under Coprinellus disseminatus. Its description in RNAcentral is "partial 25S large subunit ribosomal RNA". Lineage: Eukaryota; Fungi; Basidiomycota; Agaricomycetes; Agaricales; Psathyrellaceae. The record is from RNAcentral.
UUAGAGGGACUGUUAGGGGGGCAACUCCUUGAUGGACCCCUCGGGGACCUGGUGGCGGAAGACCUUGGCUGCCUUCACGGGCGUCCGGCGUACGCUUNACAACCAACUUAGAACUGGUACG